RNAcentral lists this ribosomal RNA (466 nucleotides) under uncultured bacterium. RNAcentral's name for it is "partial 16S ribosomal RNA". It matches the Rfam family "Bacterial small subunit ribosomal RNA", at positions 28 to 507 of the family's 1533-position model. The record is from RNAcentral.
GAUGAACGCUGGCGGCGUGCUUAACACAUGCAAGUCGAACGGAAAGGCUCCUGCUUGCCUGGUUUCUCGAUUGGCGAACGGGUGAGUAACACGUGUGUGAUCUGCCCAUCACUUCGUGAUAAGCCUGGGAAACUGGGUCUAAUACCGGAUAGGACGAUGUGUUGGAUGCCAUUGUGUAAAGUUUUUUCGGUUUGGGAUGAGCUCUCGGCCUAUCAGCUUGUUGGUCGGGUAUUGGCCUACCAAGGCCUAGACGGGUAGCCGGCAUGAGAGGGUCUACGGGCACAUUGGGACUGCGAUACGGACCAGAAUGGUAUGGGAGGCAGCAGGCGGGAAUCUUGCGCAGUGGGCGCAAGCGUGAUGCAGCGGCGCUGGGUGCGGGAUGCCGGCCUUCGAGUUGUAAACUACUUUCGCUAGGGACGAAGAGCACGUGACGGUACCUAGAGAAGAAGCACCGGCUAACUACGUG